GUUUAAGAACUAUUAUAAAAGCCCUUAAGAUGUUUGGGCUUUGAACUCAUAUCUACCUUUUUAACAAAUAUUUUAACAUAUUGGAGUAAUGAGAUAAGGGCAAGCUAGUGGAAUGAUUGAUCCUUGGUCCCAAUCACGAGCCCACUGAGUAAAGAAGGCAAAUUAGGGGCGUGUUGGUCAGUUCAAUUGGACCAUACGUUAUGGCCCUUCCAAUCCUUUAGCAGACACUUUCAUCAAACUAAUUUGGUGUUCAAAAUAUGUUCAGGAAGGCAUUUACGCCAGCAAGGAUUUAACGGGCAAACAGAUGAUUGAUAUCCAGGAUCGACUUUGACACUUCAAACUAACCAAUUCUUAUAUGCUCUUUCACUUAACUAUCAGACAAACUUAAAUGAACAAUUCGGCUAAUAUUCUAUUUAUCAAAGACUGAGAAUCGUCAAAACUGUCCAAUGUCCUAUCAUGUUAUUUUUGAAUGAGUUCAUGAAACUGCUGAAGGUCUUCAACUAAAAUUAACUCAACCUUUUAUACUAACUUAUCAUGAAGUUACUUCAUUUUUCAAAGCUCGUAUUCAUUUGAAACAGAAUAACUAACAGUACAGCUACUUUCAAUAGUCCUGUAUUCAACCUGAUUUUCAACCUUAGUUAUGCUGUCCAAAUAUUACAGUAAUAAUGCUAGACAGUCCCAAAGCAAUCCUGUCUCAAUUAUAGGCACUUAUCGAUUAAAAACACAAACUCUUAUCAAAAUCAUUAGCAACUGUAUAUACAAUUCACUAUGAAAUUUAAGCAUUAUUCUUCAGAACGAUUCAUACAUAUUUAUUCGCAUGUCCAGAUCACUUGAGCUAGGGGAAAUACCUGGAGUUAAAGCAAUACAAAAGAAGGAGAAUAAUCAGUGGCAAAUAGCAACGUAGCAGAUGAAAACCAGCGGCAGCAAGCUCUGGGAAAUAAGACCAGCAACCCAGUAAAGCUCCAAAAUGAAAAAUAGUUGAUUAACCAACACUCCUAACUCAGAAAACAGUUCAAUAACCUAGUGAUGAACAAACAAAGCAGUAAUUCUAUCACUAUAUCAAAAACAAAUCUAUCUAACUCAAGCUCACUCAGAACCAGCCGACAAAGCCACUCAAACUUCAAAUUGUCAAAGUUAAACAGGAAGAUGUAAAUCAAUGGUUUAAAAGUGCAAUUCACUUAGAAGCUGAAUGGAAUGGUAAUUUUUUGGUUUUUCCUGUUGUUUUUUAUGUUUUUGGUUUUUUUUUUAAAAAGAAGAAGCUAGAAUUAGAAUUGGGAGUCUGAAAUCCAAUCUGGAGCUUUGGCUUGUAGUGAAAUUCAAAUCUUAAACUUCAAAUCUACGGACAAGGUUUUGGGGGGAAUUUUUAAGGGUUUCCAAACUGUUGAGUAAGGCAUUGGGGCUGCUUUAUAUAGGAAAAGAUGGGACAGCCCUCAAAUUUUCAGUUUACACUAUUAGUCCCUAUUUUAUUUCAUUUUGGUCCUCCUAUUUCUAAUUUUUUACUCAAGUACCUCUUAAUUGCUGAAAUCUAUACUAAAAUCUAUUCUAGAAGGUCCUAUACCCAUUACAAUUCCUAAAAUACCCAUUCCCUACUUUGAAAAUUACUAUUCUUAAAGAAACUACCCUUUUUUCAUGCCCAAACUACCCUUACCACCUCCUAAAAUUACUAUCUCAGUUAACCUCAGCCCCAAGAAUACUAUCAACUAUAACCAUACAGCUCAAAUUACCAAGAUUAAACAAACUGACUAAAAUCAAUCAAACCAACUCCUUACAUGAUCAAAUUAAACUGAUAUGAACCUAAAUCCCAUAGCCAUGACUAAUUAACACGGAAUGAAGCAUAAUAGAAUAUUGUAAUUUUAAGUUAUCACCAGUCAAAAUAGCAAAACAACAGAAAUGCUUUUAACAAGACAUGAUACCCUUAAUUCCAAAUCGACCACAUUUGAAUUGAAAAACCAAUACCCAAUAUGAAUCAAAAGAGACUGAAGAACAAACAACGAACUAAUCCAAUCAAACCACGGGUUAAAAUGAACUGACAAAAAUGAAGAAACUAUGUCCUAAAUUGACUAAUUGACAAACAAAUCAUUUGCUAUGAGGAAAAUGAUGAAGGAGGACCAAAAGCCUUACCUAAAAUCCCGGAACGGAGACUGGAAAACAUCGACUCGAGCCUCGAAAUAAUGUAAUCGCUUGUUCUUAUCGAAGAACAAACGAACACAUUGUUUCGCGACUCGAUUCCAACACCAAACUCAGGGACUCGCGGAAAUUAAGCAACCUGAACUUCCUGAGGUUCUGCCUUCCUUCAUUUAAAAUUCUAGAAAUUCUAUUGGUGUUUUACGGAAACUAAUGAGAGAUUAGGGAUGAGGGAGGCCCGGGGAACACUUGGUGUGAAUUUGGGCGAGAUUAGAUGAGUUAGGGUUUUGGCCGGAUCAUAGAUCUGAAAUUUGAGACGGCCGGCUAAGAUUUGAAGAAAAGGGAUUUGAGGGUUGGAAAGAGGAGAAGAAGGACGGUAUGUGUUGAAAUUUUGGGGAUGGCGGAGGACUGGCGGAGGACUGGCGGAGCAACGGUGGAGACGAGGGUGGUGUUACGUUGGAAUUACAGGGGGAAAAGGUACGAUGAGAUAGAAAAUGUUUUUGGGGUUAAUUGUUAUUUUCAGACAAUUAUAUAAUUAUAUCAUGAAUAUACAAGAAC
RNAcentral lists this long non-coding RNA (2682 nucleotides) under Nicotiana benthamiana. RNAcentral's name for it is "long non-coding RNA (NBEN_LNC003191)". Lineage: Eukaryota; Viridiplantae; Streptophyta; Magnoliopsida; Solanales; Solanaceae. The record is from RNAcentral.